This is a non-coding RNA of Paramuricea clavata, 146 nucleotides long. The record is from the annotation of a GenBank genome assembly. Lineage: Eukaryota; Metazoa; Cnidaria; Anthozoa; Malacalcyonacea; Plexauridae.
AACAACCUUGUAACAAGUCUGAUGCCAUCAAGCUUGUUACAAGUUGUUAACAGCUUGUUCCAAACUUGUUACAAAGACUGUAUCAGACUUGUUAGAUCAACCUUGUAACAAGUCUGAUAGUGGCAUCAAGCUUGUUACAAGUUGUU